CCUACGGGUGGCAGCAGUGGGGAAUAUUGGACAAUGGGCGAAAGCCUGAUCCAGCCAUGCCGCGUGUGUGAAGAAGGCCUUCGGGUUGUAAAGCACUUUCAGUGGGGAAGAAAGCCUUGGGGCUAAUACCCUCGUGGAAUGACAUUACCCACAGAAGAAGCACCGGCUAACUCCGUGCCAGCAGCCGCGGUAAUACGUAGGGUGCGAGCGUUAAUCGGAAUUACUGGGCGUAAAGCGCGCGUAGGCGGUCUGAUAAGUCGUUGUGAAAGCCCCGGGCUCAACCUGGGAACGGCAUCCGGAACUGUCAAGCUAGGGUGCAGGAGAGGAAGGUAGAAUUCCCGGUGUAGCGGUGAAAUGCGUAGAGAUCGGGAGGAAUACCAGUGGCGAAGGCGGCCUUCUGGACUGACACUGACGCUGAGGUGCGAAAGCGUGGGUAGCAAACAGGAUUAGAUACCCUGGUAGUC
RNAcentral lists this ribosomal RNA (464 nucleotides) under Vreelandella stevensii. RNAcentral's name for it is "partial 16S ribosomal RNA". It matches the Rfam family "Bacterial small subunit ribosomal RNA", at positions 338 to 795 of the family's 1533-position model. Lineage: Bacteria; Pseudomonadati; Pseudomonadota; Gammaproteobacteria; Oceanospirillales; Halomonadaceae. The record is from RNAcentral.